ACAAGAUGAUUGGAUGGCAUCACCGACUCAAUGGAUCUUUACUGAGCUAUAAUUGAGAUAUGUCAAUGUGUAACAUUGAAGUGUACAACAUGAUGAUUGGAUAGGCCUAUGCACUGCAAAAUAAUUACCACAAUAAGGAAGCAGACACCCUCCAGAUGAAAACUGCUGACCACAAGCACAAAGAUUCGAAACCAUUGGAAUGAAAGGGUUGAUGAUGCUGACUUCUAAUUACCUCACAAUCAGAAGAUUGUCCAUGAGUUGAUCACUCCCUGCUCCUUGAAUCAUUACUAUAAGACAAGCCCCAACCCCUCCAGGGUGGGACACACAGACUCGAAGGCAUUAGUCCACUGUGUACCCCUUUGCCUGGCAAGGUAAUAAAGCUAUUUAUUUUGGCUUUACCCAAAACUGUGUC
Non-coding RNA from Odocoileus virginianus texanus, 412 nucleotides. The record is from RefSeq and is a predicted model, not a curated record. Lineage: Eukaryota; Metazoa; Chordata; Mammalia; Artiodactyla; Cervidae.